GAUGAACGCUGGCGGCGUGCUUAACACAUGCAAGUCGAACGGAAAGGCCGAACUUUUCUUCGGUACUCGAGUGGCGAACGGGUGAGUAACACGUGGGUGACCUGCCCUUUACUUCGGGAUAAGCUUGGGAAACUGGGGCUAAUACCGGAUAUGACCUCCUGCUGCAUGGGGUUGGGUAAAGCGUUUCCGCUAUGGGGUGAGCUCGCGGCCUAUCAGCGUGUGUGUGGGGGGUUGGCCUACCAAAGGGUUGACGGGGAGACGGCGUGUGAGAGUGUGCGGCCACAUUGGGGCUCUGAGAUGGCCCCGAGUCCCACGGGGGGCGGCAGUGGGGAAUAUUGCACACUGUGGGCGCGCCUGAUGCAGCGACGCCGCGUGUGCGGUAACGGCCUUCGCGUUGUAAACUCCUUUCUCGAUUGACGCAGCCUGUUAGUGACGGUAGUUGGUGAAGAAGCACCGGCUAACUACGUG
This 468-nucleotide ribosomal RNA is filed under the name uncultured bacterium. Its description in RNAcentral is "partial 16S ribosomal RNA". It matches the Rfam family "Bacterial small subunit ribosomal RNA", at positions 28 to 507 of the family's 1533-position model. The record is from RNAcentral.